RNAcentral lists this ribosomal RNA (461 nucleotides) under Theileria sp. RNAcentral's name for it is "SSU rRNA". It matches the Rfam family "Eukaryotic small subunit ribosomal RNA", at positions 486 to 984 of the family's 1831-position model. Lineage: Eukaryota; Apicomplexa; Aconoidasida; Piroplasmida; Theileriidae. The record is from RNAcentral.
CGGGGCUUAAUGUCUUGUAAUUGGAAUGAUGGGAAUUUAAACCUCUUCCAGAGUAUCAAUUGGAGGGCAAGUCUGGUGCCAGCAGCCGCGGUAAUUCCAGCUCCAAUAGCGUAUAUUAAAAUUGUUGCAGUUAAAAAGCUCGUAGUUGAAUUUCUGCUGCAUCGCUGUUUUCCUUGAUGAGUAUUGCGUUGUGGCUUUUUUCGGACAUUGCUUCGGUUUUGUCCGGAUGAUUACUUUGAGAAAAUUAGAGUGCUCAAAGCAGGCUUUUGCCUUGAAUAGUUUAGCAUGGAAUAAUAAAGUAGGACUUUGGUUCUAUUUUGUUGGUUUUAGGUACCAAAGUAAUGGUUAAUAGGAACAGUUGGGGGCAUUCGUAUUUAACUGUCAGAGGUGAAAUUCUUAGAUUUGUUAAAGACGAACUACUGCGAAAGCAUUUGCCAAGGAUGUUUCCAUUAAUCAAGAAC